CUUAGUAAUCCUUUACGAUGCUUUUGUGAAACACACGUAACGUGAACGUAAAACCACACGUAAACAGAUCGUAAACUGAUACGAUGAUUGUAAGUUAAGAAGGCUUUGUGAAACGGUGGCCAGGUAGAAUAAGAAUAACACACUAUCCAUGACACCAAAUCAGGACAUGCUCAACAAAAGGCACACAAAAUAAAAUGAAAAAAAGUAAACAGCAAUGUUUUUUUUUCAAUUCAAAGUCAGACGUAUGUCUUAAACACGAAGCAAUUUAUGAUCUAAAUUUGAAUGAUGGUCUCGAAAAUUAUCGAAAACAACGC
Molecule: long non-coding RNA, 314 nt
Filed under: Mytilus galloprovincialis (Mediterranean mussel)
Lineage: Eukaryota; Metazoa; Mollusca; Bivalvia; Mytilida; Mytilidae
Source: RNAcentral